AGAAAUAGAAAAAUCAAUUGAGUGUAAUGGGUGGUCACACCUAGUGCGACUGACUUUCGGAUAUGUACAUAAGUUUGUUGGUUAAAUGGUUUUGGCAUUAUCAGACCGAGCCUACUAGACUGUGGAGGCGUGUGAGUACUGCACUACAUGGUAAUGAUUCUGAUAGCAGUCUGGUCACUUGCGGAAGCCAAUCAUAUGGGGUGUGGCGUAACAUUUGUCAAAUAAAUAAGGUGUUAUUGAAAAAGUGUAUCAUUCCUAAUCAGCUGAUGCAUGGGGUUUCACUACAAGGUCAAUCUGGUGUGGAAAGGUGGAUCUGAGAUGCAGGUGGAAGUGAUCAAGCUUUUGCUAUUGCUUCAUUUCGUAAAAAUUUACAAAGUUAUGUUGGUGGGGCGUUUAAUGUGGACAUUCGCAGCAGUGCACACUAAAUAUAAUGCAGGGUCAUGUAUCGAAUGGUGUAGUCUGUUUCCUGGGAUUCUUGGGCGAGUAAUCGAUCUUCUCUAAUUAUAAUCUGCUGCCAUCAGGUAGCCCGGAAUGGGCGGCAUCGGGUAUUAGAAGAGCGUUGAUGUGUAUGAGUAAAAGUGACGGAACUGUUGUUGAUCAAAGACAUGCGCCGAGUGCCAGGAAUAGAACCAUAAACUUUUUAAAAACAGGAUACUAAUAGAAACAUCUACAUAUUGGGUUUAUGACGUUGGGCUGUUUUAUUUUAUUUUUAUUUUUUUUUUUUAUGAAAAUGUCCAAAUAGAUUUUGGCUGAAAAUUUAAAAGAGGAUUUAUAGAUUCAAGAAAUGUAAUGUAAUAUGUUAUAAAAGUUUUGAUAAUAAUAUA
Erigeron canadensis is the source of this 824-nucleotide long non-coding RNA. RefSeq lists it as uncharacterized. Lineage: Eukaryota; Viridiplantae; Streptophyta; Magnoliopsida; Asterales; Asteraceae. The record is from RefSeq and is a predicted model, not a curated record. The transcript has 4 exons.